Molecule: transfer RNA, 77 nt
Filed under: Magnetovirga frankeli
Lineage: Bacteria; Pseudomonadati; Pseudomonadota; Gammaproteobacteria; Chromatiales; Sedimenticolaceae
Description: gamma proteobacterium SS-5 tRNA-OTHER
Source: RNAcentral
CGCGGGAAGGAUGUUGGUUUCCAGCAUGGGCUCAUAUCCCAUUGCCAACGGCAGUUCGAUUCUGCCUCCCGCUACCA